AGAGUUUGAUCCUGGCUCAGGAUGAACGCUGGCGGCGUGCUUAACACAUGCAAGUCGAACGAUGACUUUUGUGCUUGCACAAAAUGAUUAGUGGCGAACGGGUGAGUAACACGUGAGUAACCUGCCCUUAACUUCGGGAUAAGCCUGGGAAACCGGGUCUAAUACCGGAUACGACGGAUUCCCGCAUGGGGGUCCGUGGAAAGCUUGAUGCGGUUUUGGAUGGACUCGCGGCCUAUCAGCUAGUUGGUUGGGGUAAUGGCCCACCAAGGCGACGACGGGUAGCCGGCCUGAGAGGGUGACCGGCCACACUGGGACUGAGACACGGCCCAGACUCCUACGGGAGGCAGCAGUGGGGAAUAUUGCACAAUGGGCGAAAGCCUGAUGCAGCGACGCCGCGUGAGGGACGAAGGCCUUCGGGUUGUAAACCUCUUUCAGCAGGGAAGAAGCGAAAGUGACGGUACCUGCAGAAGAAGCGCCGGCUAACUACGUGCCAGCAGCCGCGGUAAUACGUAGGGCGCAAGCGUUAUCCGGAAUUAUUGGGCGUAAAGAGCUCGUAGGCGGUUUGUCGCGUCUGCUGUGAAAGCCCGGGGCUCAACCCCGGGUCUGCAGUGGGUACGGGCAGACUAGAGUGCAGUAGGGGAGACUGGAAUUCCUGGUGUAGCGGUGAAAUGCGCAGAUAUCAGGAGGAACACCGAUGGCGAAGGCAGGUCUCUGGGCUGUAACUGACGCUGAGGAGCGAAAGCAUGGGGAGCGAACAGGAUUAGAUACCCUGGUAGUCCAUGCCGUAAACGUUGGGCACUAGGUGUGGGGGACAUUCCACGUUUUCCGCGCCGUAGCUAACGCAUUAAGUGCCCUGCCUGGGGAGUACGGCCGCAAGGCUAAAACUCAAAGGAAUUGACGGGGCCCGCACAAGCGGUGGAGCAUGUGGUUUAAUUCGAAGCAACGCGAAGAACCUUACCAGGUCUUGACAUCCCGCUGACCGGCCUAGAGAUAGGCUUUUCCCUUCGGGGACAGCGGUGACAGGUGGUGCAUGGUUGUCGUCAGCUCGUGUCGUGAGAUGUUGGGUUAAGUCCCGCAACGAGCGCAACCCUUGAUCUUAGUUGCCAGCAUUCAGUUGGGCACUCUAAGGUGACUGCCGGUGAUAAACCGGAGGAAGGUGGGGAUGACGUCAAAUCAUCAUGCCCCUUAUGACCUGGGCUACACACGUGCUACAAUGGACGGUACAGAGGGUCGCAACCCCGCGAGGGUGAGCAAAUCCCAUAAAACCGUUCUCAGUUCGGAUUGUAGGCUGCAACUCGCCUACAUGAAGCCGGAAUCGCUAGUAAUCGUGGAUCAGCAUGCCACGGUGAAUACGUUCCCGGGCCUUGCACACACCGCCCGUCAAG
This 1385-nucleotide ribosomal RNA is filed under the name uncultured bacterium. RNAcentral describes it as "partial 16S ribosomal RNA". It matches the Rfam family "Bacterial small subunit ribosomal RNA". The record is from RNAcentral.